This 308-nucleotide ribosomal RNA is filed under the name uncultured eukaryote. RNAcentral describes it as "partial 18S ribosomal RNA". It matches the Rfam family "Eukaryotic small subunit ribosomal RNA", at positions 1470 to 1796 of the family's 1831-position model. The record is from RNAcentral.
CCCUUAGACGUUCUGGGCCGCACGCGCGCUACACUGACGAAGGCAACGAGCUUUCCUUUACCGAAAGGUACGGGUAAUCUUUUGAAACUUCGUCGUGCUGGGGAUAGAUCCUUGCAAUUAUUGAUCUUAAACGAGGAAUUCCUAGUAAGCGCAAGUCAUCAACUUACGUUGAUUACGUCCCUGCCCUUUGUACACACCGCCCGUCGCUACUACCGAUUGAAUGGUUUAGUGAGGCCUUCGGAUCCGCGACUCGUUUUGUGGAGAAGUUGGACAAACUCAGUCAUUUAGAGGAAGUAAAAGUCGUAACA